GGCUAGUUAGCUCAGUCAGCUGAGUGUGGUGCUGAUAACACCAAGGUCAUGGGUUUGAUCCCCAUUCGUUCCC
This 73-nucleotide transfer RNA is filed under the name Apaloderma vittatum (bar-tailed trogon). It matches the Rfam family "tRNA". From Rfam's summary of the family: Transfer RNA (tRNA) molecules are approximately 80 nucleotides in length. Their secondary structure includes four short double-helical elements and three loops (D, anti-codon, and T loops). The record is from Rfam by way of RNAcentral. Lineage: Eukaryota; Metazoa; Chordata; Aves; Trogoniformes; Trogonidae.